RNAcentral lists this ribosomal RNA (274 nucleotides) under uncultured bacterium. Its description in RNAcentral is "partial 16S ribosomal RNA". It matches the Rfam family "Bacterial small subunit ribosomal RNA", at positions 523 to 796 of the family's 1533-position model. The record is from RNAcentral.
AUACAGAGGGUGCGAGCGUUAAUCGGAAUUACUGGGCGUAAAGCGCGCGUAGGCGGCUUGGUCAGUCGGAUGUGAAAGCCCUGGGCUUAACCUGGGAACUGCAUUUGAAACUGGGAGGCUAGAGUUUGGUAGAGGGGAGUGGAAUUUCCGGUGUAGCGGUGAAAUGCGUAGAGAUCGGAAGGAACACCAGUGGCGAAGGCGACUCUCUGGACCAAAACUGACGCUGAGGUGCGAAAGCGUGGGUAGCAAACAGGAUUAGAAACCCCGGUAGUCC